This 468-nucleotide ribosomal RNA is filed under the name uncultured bacterium. Its description in RNAcentral is "partial 16S ribosomal RNA". It matches the Rfam family "Bacterial small subunit ribosomal RNA", at positions 28 to 507 of the family's 1533-position model. The record is from RNAcentral.
GACGAACGCUGGCGGCGUGCUUAACACAUGCAAGUCGAACGGAAAGGCCCUGCUUUUGUGGGGUGCUCGAGUGGCGAACGGGUGAGUAACACGUGAGUAACCUGCCCUUGACUUUGGGAUAACUUCAGGAAACUGGGGCUAAUACCGGAUAGGAGCUCCUGCUGCAUGGUGGGGGUUGGAAAGUUUCGGCGGUUGGGGAUGGACUCGCGGCUUAUCAGCUUGUUGGUGGGGUAGUGGCUUACCAAGGCUUUGACGGGUAGCCGGCCUGAGAGGGUGACCGGCCACAUUGGGACUGGGAUACGGCCCAGACUCGUACGGGAGGCAGCAGUGGGGAAUAGUGCACAAUGGGCGGAAGCCUGAUGCAGCAACGCCGCGUGCGGGAUGACGGCCUUCGGGUUGUAAACCGCUGUCGCCUGUGACGAAGCGUGAGUGACGGUAAUGGGUAAAGAAGCACCGGCUAACUACGUG